GGUAAAAUAGCCGAGUAGGUUUUAGACUGCAAUUCUAAGGACAGAAGUUUAGCCCUCUUUUUACCA
This 66-nucleotide transfer RNA is filed under the name Cavia porcellus (domestic guinea pig). It matches the Rfam family "tRNA". From Rfam's summary of the family: Transfer RNA (tRNA) molecules are approximately 80 nucleotides in length. Their secondary structure includes four short double-helical elements and three loops (D, anti-codon, and T loops). Further hydrogen bonds mediate the characteristic L-shaped molecular structure. tRNAs have two regions of fundamental functional importance: the anti-codon, which is responsible for specific mRNA codon recognition, and the 3' end, to which the tRNAs corresponding amino acid is attached (by aminoacyl-tRNA synthetases). tRNAs cope with the degeneracy of the genetic code in two manners: having more than one tRNA (with a specific anti-codon) for a particular amino acid; and 'wobble' base-pairing, i.e. permitting non-standard base-pairing at the 3rd anti-codon position. The record is from Rfam by way of RNAcentral. Lineage: Eukaryota; Metazoa; Chordata; Mammalia; Rodentia; Caviidae.